AUACGGAGGGUGCAAGCGUUACUCGGAAUCACUGGGCGUAAAGCGCGCGCAGGCGGGCUGAUAAGUUGGAGGUGAAAGCCUACGGCUCAACCGUAGAACUGCAUCCAAAACUGUCAGUCUAGAGUCUGGGAGGGGAAGAUGGAAUUAGUUGUGUAGGGGUAAAAUCCGUAGAGAUAACUAGGAAUACCAAAAGCGAAGGCGAUCUUCUGGAACAGUACUGACGCUGAGGCGCGAAAGCGUGGGGAGCAAACAGGAUUAGAUACCCUAGUAGUCC
Molecule: ribosomal RNA, 274 nt
Filed under: uncultured bacterium
Lineage: Bacteria
Description: partial 16S ribosomal RNA
Rfam family: Bacterial small subunit ribosomal RNA
Source: RNAcentral